This is a long non-coding RNA of Erinaceus europaeus (western European hedgehog), 281 nucleotides long. RefSeq lists it as uncharacterized. NCBI's taxonomy places the organism in Eukaryota, Metazoa, Chordata, Mammalia, Eulipotyphla, Erinaceidae. The transcript is spliced from 3 exons. The record is from RefSeq and is a predicted model, not a curated record.
AAGAAGGAAGAGGAGGAGAAGGAGGAGAAGAUGAAUGUACACAUUCCACCAGCUGGGUGCUGAGAUCAAAGCAGCAGAAGAGGACCCCUCAACUUAUGCCAGCAGCCAGGUCUUCAUAUAAUAUGAACUUCACAUUGUCGUCAUGAAGGUGCUGGUUCCAGUUAAUGGCAAAGUCAAAAUAGCUUCCCCAAGAAACUGAAAAGACAGGGGGAAAAGCUUCUUAAGGACUUUUAAAUAAUGAAGGUUAAAGUGACAUGCCACCAGGUUCCAGAUGCUACCAU